GCCUGGCUGGCUCAGUCGGUAUAGCAUGUGACUCUUGAUCUCAGGGCUGUGAGUUCAAGCCCCACGUUGGGUA
Molecule: transfer RNA, 73 nt
Filed under: Felis catus (domestic cat)
Lineage: Eukaryota; Metazoa; Chordata; Mammalia; Carnivora; Felidae
Also listed under: 1 other name
Rfam family: tRNA
About the family: Transfer RNA (tRNA) molecules are approximately 80 nucleotides in length. Their secondary structure includes four short double-helical elements and three loops (D, anti-codon, and T loops).
Source: Rfam by way of RNAcentral